GUCCCAGUAGCUCAAUUGGAUAGAGCAUCCCCCUCCUAAGGGGAAGGUUGGCCGUUCUUAUCUGGGGUG
RNAcentral lists this transfer RNA (69 nucleotides) under Pseudomonas tolaasii. RNAcentral describes it as "tRNA-Arg". It matches the Rfam family "tRNA". From Rfam's summary of the family: Transfer RNA (tRNA) molecules are approximately 80 nucleotides in length. Their secondary structure includes four short double-helical elements and three loops (D, anti-codon, and T loops). Further hydrogen bonds mediate the characteristic L-shaped molecular structure. tRNAs have two regions of fundamental functional importance: the anti-codon, which is responsible for specific mRNA codon recognition, and the 3' end, to which the tRNAs corresponding amino acid is attached (by aminoacyl-tRNA synthetases). tRNAs cope with the degeneracy of the genetic code in two manners: having more than one tRNA (with a specific anti-codon) for a particular amino acid; and 'wobble' base-pairing, i.e. permitting non-standard base-pairing at the 3rd anti-codon position. Lineage: Bacteria; Pseudomonadati; Pseudomonadota; Gammaproteobacteria; Pseudomonadales; Pseudomonadaceae. The record is from RNAcentral. RNAcentral also lists the same sequence under 2 other names.